This 1871-nucleotide ribosomal RNA is filed under the name Listeria monocytogenes. RNAcentral's name for it is "partial 23S ribosomal RNA". It matches the Rfam family "Bacterial large subunit ribosomal RNA", at positions 1 to 1862 of the family's 2925-position model. The record is from RNAcentral. Lineage: Bacteria; Bacillati; Bacillota; Bacilli; Caryophanales; Listeriaceae.
UUGGUUAAGUUAGAAAGGGCGCACGGUGGAUGCCUUGGCACUAGGAGCCGAAGAAGGACGGGACUAACACCGAUAUGCUUUGGGGAGCUGUACGUAAGCGUUGAUCCAGAGAUUUCCGAAUGGGGGAACCCACUAUCUUUAGUCGGAUAGUAUCCUUACGUGAAUACAUAGCGUGAGGAAGGCAGACCCAGGGAACUGAAACAUCUAAGUACCUGGAGGAAGAGAAAGAAAAAUCGAUUUCCUGAGUAGCGGCGAGCGAAACGGAAAGAGCCCAAACCAAGAAGCUUGCUUCUUGGGGUUGUAGGACACUCUAUACGGAGUUACAAAAGAAAGUUAUAAAUGAAGCGGUCUGGAAAGGCCCGCCAAAGACGGUAACAGCCCGGUAGUUGAAAUAGCUUUCCCUCCAGAGUGGAUCCUGAGUACGGCGGAACACGUGAAAUUCCGUCGGAAUCCGGGAGGACCAUCUCCCAAGGCUAAAUACUCCCUAGUGACCGAUAGUGAACCAGUACCGUGAGGGAAAGGUGAAAAGCACCCCGGAAGGGGAGUGAAACAGUUCCUGAAACCGUGUGCCUACAAGUAGUUAGAGCCCGUUAAUGGGUGAUAGCGUGCCUUUUGUAGAAUGAACCGGCGAGUUACGAUUUGUUGCAAGGUUAAGCGGAAAAAGCGGAGCCGUAGCGAAAGCGAGUCUGAAUAGGGCGCAUAAGUAACAGGUCGUAGACCCGAAACCAGGUGAUCUACCCAUGUCCAGGAUGAAGGUAAGGUAAUACUUACUGGAGGUCCGAACCCACGCACGUUGAAAAGUGCGGGGAUGAGGUGUGGGUAGCGGAGAAAUUCCAAUCGAACUUGGAGAUAGCUGGUUCUCUCCGAAAUAGCUUUAGGGCUAGCCUCGAGGUAAAGAGUCAUGGAGGUAGAGCACUGUUUGGACUAGGGGCCCUUCUCGGGUUACCGAAUUCAGAUAAACUCCGAAUGCCAUGUACUUAUACUCGGGAGUCAGACUGCGAGUGAUAAGAUCCGUAGUCGAAAGGGAAACAGCCCAGACCACCAGUUAAGGUCCCCAAAUAUAUGUUAAGUGGAAAAGGAUGUGGGGUUGCUUAGACAACCAGGAUGUUGGCUUAGAAGCAGCCACCAUUGAAAGAGUGCGUAAUAGCUCACUGGUCGAGUGACCCCGCGCCGAAAAUGUACCGGGGCUAAACAUAUUACCGAAACUGUGGAUGAACCUCUUUAGAGGUUCGUGGUAGGAGAGCGUUCUAAGGGCGGUGAAGUCAGACCGGAAGGACUGGUGGAGCGCUUAGAAGUGAGAAUGCCGGUAUGAGUAGCGAAAGAAGGGUGAGAAUCCCUUCCACCGAAUAUCUAAGGUUUCCUGAGGAAGGCUCGUCCGCUCAGGGUUAGUCGGGACCUAAGCCGAGGCCGAUAGGCGUAGGCGAUGGACAACAGGUAGAGAUUCCUGUACCAGUGCUAAUUGUUUAACCGAUGGGGUGACACAGAAGGAUAGGGAAUCGCACGAAUGGAAAUGUGCGUCCAAGCAGUGAGUGUGAGAAGUAGGCAAAUCCGCUUCUCGCGAAGCAUGAGCUGUGAUGGGGAAGGAAAUUAAGUACGGAAGUUCCUGAUUUCACGCUGUCAAGAAAAGCCUCUAGGAAGAGUAGUACUGCCCGUACCGCAAACCGACACAGGUAGAUGAGGAGAGAAUCCUAAGGUGAGCGAGAGAACUCUCGUUAAGGAACUCGGCAAAAUGACCCCGUAACUUCGGGAGAAGGGGUGCUCUAUUAGGGUGCAAGCCCGAGAGAGCCGCAGUGAAUAGGCCCAGGCGACUGUUUAGCAAAAACACAGGUCUCUGCAAAACCGUAAGGUGACGUAUAGGGGCUGACGCCUGC